RNAcentral lists this unclassified non-coding RNA (1053 nucleotides) under Hevea brasiliensis (rubber tree). The record is from RNAcentral. Lineage: Eukaryota; Viridiplantae; Streptophyta; Magnoliopsida; Malpighiales; Euphorbiaceae.
GUCCAACGAAAAAAUGCCUUCUCUUUUCCAUAUUUCUUCUCCACUUCUACAAUCUACAUUUCUUCACCUACCAUUUCUUUCUUCUUCUUUGGUAAAAGGAUCCCAUGUUUGAUUAUGGAGAUGAAUUUACAAUAGAAACCUAUAGAAUCCCAUGGCUUAUUUGGAUCCAAAUCCUAAUCUUCUUCCUCUUAAUCUUUCUUCUCUGUUGUUUCAGUGUUUUUACUUCAGAUCCCUUGCACUCCGACACAAAAACCAUCUCCUGCUCCUCCACCUCUUCUUCUUCAGUCGCUGCUGCUUCUUAUUUAAACAAGCCACUUCUCAACCACAGUACUACCACAACACUCGCAAAUCGCUUGCAUCGUCACCAGAUAAGAGAGAGUCAAAGAAUAAAAGGGGAGAUGGCAACAAGCACAAGUACAAGAAUAGCGACUCAAGAGAAUACAGAAACGGAACGCAUUUCAACAAACUCCAUCAUUGAUCUCCAUCCCUGCAACUAUUUUAGGCUUGCCAAACUUGCACUUCUGAAGUGUUUAGGGUUAGAUCCAUCCUCUGAUAAUUGUCCAAGCUCCGACAGGUAAAAAGACAGAUAGGUUUGCUGUACAGGGAAGUGGGAAUUUGUUGCCUAAUUCUACAGAAGCAAAGAUUGAGUUAUCAGCCAUUAUAAUUCAGGGACAAAGGGAUCGAUGGUAUAGAAAGCAAGUCAGAGAUUGUGGUUCAAUCCAAGGUGAAUAUACUCGAGAUUAGACGUUCACUAAAGCUAAUCAUUGUUAAUCCUUGGGGUCCUCAUUUUUAAGUUAAAAAGCCAAUUCAUUUACUGAAGAAAGAUCAAAUUGAUUGGAGCAGUGCUCUUUCCAACAAUUUCAUGUGUAUUUUUUUACGAAGAACAUAAGUUUUUGCAAGAAAUCCAGUCAAAUAUGCAUCAGUUAUCAGGGUUGUGUUAUUACUAAACAAUAACUCUGGUUUUGUACUUACGUUGAGUUUUAGGCUGCCCAUCAAUGUUAGGGGGCAUUGACGGAAAAAUUAAUUGCAGAAUAAAAUAAUUCUCUCUCAAUA